GUUGCGGUUAAAAAGCUCGUAGUUGGAUUUCUGCCGAGGACGACCGGUCCGCCCUCUGGGUGAGUAUCUGGCUCGGCCUGGGCAUCUUCUUGGAGAACGUAGCUGCACUUGACUGUGUGGUGCGGUAUCCAGGACUUUUACUUUGAAAAAAUUAGAGUGUUCAAAGCAGGCUAUUGCUUGAAUACAUGAGCAUGGAAUAAUGGAAUAAGACUUUGGUCCCAUUUUGUUGGUUUCUAGGGCCGAAGUAAUGAUUAAGAGGGACAAUUGGGGGCAUCCGUAUUUCGUUGUCAGAGGCGAAAUUCUUGGAUUUACGAAAGACGAACAACUGCGAAAGCACUUGCCAAGAGUGUUUUCAUUAAUCAAGAACGAAAGUUAGAGGAUCGAAGACGAUCAGAUACCGUCCUAGUUCUAACCAUAAACGAUGUCGACUAGGGAUCAGCGGGUGUUAUCGUACGACU
Molecule: ribosomal RNA, 458 nt
Filed under: uncultured marine eukaryote
Lineage: Eukaryota
Description: bacterial SSU rRNA
Rfam family: Eukaryotic small subunit ribosomal RNA
Source: RNAcentral